CCUACGGGAGGCAGCAGUGGGGAAUAUUGCGCAAUGGGCGAAAGCCUGACGCAGCAACGCCGCGUGAGUGAGGAAGGCCCUCGGGUUGUAAAGCUCUGUCAGAUGGGAAGAACAUCACUUGGUCCAAUAGGCCUUGUGACUGACGGUACCAUCAAAGGAAGCACCGGCUAACUUCGUGCCAGCAGCCGCGGUAAUACGAAGGGUGCAAGCGUUGUUCGGAUUUACUGGGCGUAAAGCGCGCGCAGGCGGAUUGUUUAGCCAGAUGUGAAAUCUCGGGGCCCAACCCCGAAACUGCGUCUGGAACUGAUAAUCUAGAAUCUUGGAGAGGGAAAUGGAAUUUCGCAUGUAGGGGUAAAAUCCGUAGAGAUGCGAAGGAACACCAGAGGCGAAGGCGGUUUCCUGGCCAAGUAUUGACGCUGAGGCGCGAAAGCGUGGGGAGCAAACAGGAUUAGAUACCCUGGUAGUCCACGCCGUAAACGAUGAGCACUAGAUAUAGGGUUGUUGACCGACUCUGUGUCAAAGCUAACGCAUUAAGUGCUCCGCCUGGGGAGUACGGUCGCAAGACUAAAACUCAAAGGAAUUGACGG
Molecule: ribosomal RNA, 587 nt
Filed under: uncultured bacterium
Lineage: Bacteria
Description: bacterial SSU rRNA
Rfam family: Bacterial small subunit ribosomal RNA
Source: RNAcentral